This 444-nucleotide long non-coding RNA is filed under the name Elaeis guineensis (African oil palm). Its description in RNAcentral is "long non-coding RNA (EGUI_LNC023610)". Lineage: Eukaryota; Viridiplantae; Streptophyta; Magnoliopsida; Arecales; Arecaceae. The record is from RNAcentral.
CUCGUAUGAUGCCGACAUGGCAUGUCAUGAUUUAAUCAUGCCGACACAACAAAGAUAUGGGAUGAUGUGGCAUUAGUUUUUGAUCAUUUAUAUUGAAACCCCAAAGCACUUCAUAUUGUUAGAGACUUCAGAGAGAUUGCGCACGUGUUAAACCAGCAACAAGAGAUGAUGUAAAAGGGACGCGGAGUGGAAGGAACCCAGAAAGAGACCCUCCACCAUCCGAACCAAUGAAUGCACCCUGGUGGGGCCUCCUUGCCAUCUCCUCCUUCGCCCGAACGCCGGAAGACAGCGGCCUCUUUUCCGAAUCUCGACCACCUUUUCUUCUGGGGAAAGGACGUGACACGAUUCGUUUGCUGUGGUUGCUUCGGCCGCCGACUUCAAACGACUUCUUUCCCCUUGUCUUCGAAAAAAAUCCCCCAGGCGGCCACUUCCACUUCUUUUCUA